AUGGCUUCAACAAACAGAGGAUGUACUCAGUUGCUGAUAGUUCUUAUAAAUGAAACAGCCUGUCUGUGGCCUUAAAAUCCAGGCUCUGUGUGAAUGGAGAGAGAAGGACAGAAGCUGCUUGAAACAAAGACGCUAAUGGCUCCAAAAUGUGCCUGGUCUGACUCUGCUUGAAUCCUGUUUUGAAGUACUUCAGAUCUGUCAUCUGUGUGGCCCCCCAUCAUCUUCAUUCAGAUCUUGCUGUCCAAGAUGGCUUUAGGCUGUAUCCCUUCCUGGAAGAGGGACAGUGCCAAAGAAUGAAGUGUUUGCACCAUUUCCAUGUGCAAUAACCCCAGCUGCCAUGCAGUCCCUUGGAGCCUCUUGAACUAAGAGUACCUGACCCACAUUAACCAUUCAUGCAAUCAGUAACAGGCAUAAAGGCUCAUCCCAAAAUGAGGAGGACUCAGAUUUGUUUCUUCUCUUUGAACAACAUAUUUGAAUUACCCAGGGUUUUGGAGGGACUUAAGAUGGGUUUCUGCCUGAAGCCAGAGGUGUGGUGCAAAUCCUCUGUUGCUGUGAACUGCUUUAGCCUAGCUGGAAAAGAAGCCACCAAUACAAGUAAGUCAGCUUUCCCCUCCUAAAUUCUUCUGUGUAGGAGCAAUAAUGGUAGAAUUUCCAAUUUUUUUUUCCAGUACAGACUUUCUUAAAAAUGGGUAUUUCAGCUCCAUGAGGUCACCUUAAUGCCAUCAGUUUUCAGAUGGUCGUAUGGUUUAAGGCACAGUCCUAUGCUUGCAUACAAUAAACAAAGUGAUGUGGUGAUCCUCA
Molecule: long non-coding RNA, 801 nt
Filed under: Numida meleagris (helmeted guineafowl)
Lineage: Eukaryota; Metazoa; Chordata; Aves; Galliformes; Numididae
Description: lncRNA (ENSNMEG00000015349.1)
Source: RNAcentral